Molecule: ribosomal RNA, 468 nt
Filed under: uncultured bacterium
Lineage: Bacteria
Description: partial 16S ribosomal RNA
Rfam family: Bacterial small subunit ribosomal RNA
Source: RNAcentral
GACGAACGCUGGCGGCGUGCUUAACACAUGCAAGUCGAACGGAAAGGCCCUGCUUUUGUGGGGUGCUCGAGUGGCGAACGGGUGAGUAACACGUGAGUAACCUGCCCUUGACUUUGGGAUAACUUCAGGAAACUGGGCCUAUUACCGGUUAGGACCUCCUCCUCCAUGUUGGGGGUUGGAAAGUUUCGGCGGUUGGGGAUGGACUCGCGGCUUAUCCGCUUGUUGGUGGGGUAGUGGCUUACCAAGGCUUUGACGGGUAGCCGGCCUGAGAGGGUGACCGGCCACAUUGGGACUGAGAUACGGCCCAGACUCCUACGGGAGGCAGCAGUGGGGAAUAUUGCACAAUGGGCGGAAGCCUGAUGCAGCAACGCCGCGUGCGGGAUGACGGCCUUCGGGUUGUAAACCGCUUUCGCCUGUGACGAAGCGUGAGUGACGGUAAUGGGUAAAGAAGCACCGGCUAACUACGUG